GGGAUUUGGAGCAGCUACACAUGCAGUCGAGCGGUAGCACAGAGAGCUUGCUCUCGGGUGACGAGCGGCGGACGGGUGAGUAAUGUCUGGGAAACUGCCUGAUGGAGGGGGAUAACUACUGGAAACGGUAGCUAAUACCGCAUAACGUCGCAAGACCAAAGAGGGGGACCUUCGGGCCUCUUGCCAUCAGAUGUGCCCAGAUGGGAUUAGCUAGUAGGUGGGGUAACGGCUCACCUAGGCGACGAUCCCUAGCUGGUCUGAGAGGAUGACCAGCCACACUGGAACUGAGACACGGUCCAGACUCCUACGGGAGGCAGCAGUGGGGAAUAUUGCACAAUGGGCGCAAGCCUGAUGCAGCCAUGCCGCGUGUAUGAAGAAGGCCUUCGGGUUGUAAAGUACUUUCAGCGGGGAGGAAGGUGUUGAGGUUAAUAACCUCAGCAAUUGACGUUACCCGCAGAAGAAGCACCGGCUAACUCCGUGCCAGCAGCCGCGGUAAUACGGAGGGUGCAAGCGUUAAUCGGAAUUACUGGGCGUAAAGCGCACGCAGGCGGUCUGUCAAGUCGGAUGUGAAAUCCCCGGGCUCAACCUGGGAACUGCAUUCGAAACUGGCAGGCUAGAGUCUUGUAGAGGGGGGUAGAAUUCCAGGUGUAGCGGUGAAAUGCGUAGAGAUCUGGAGGAAUACCGGUGGCGAAGGCGGCCCCCUGGACAAAGACUGACGCUCAGGUGCGAAAGCGUGGGGAGCAAACAGGAUUAGAUACCCUGGUAGUCCACGCCGUAACGAUGUCGACUUGGAGGUUGUGCCCUUGAGGCGUGGCUUCCGGAGCUAACGCGUUAAGUCGACCGCCUGGGGAGUACGGCCGCAAGGUUAAAACUCAAAUGAAUUGACAGGGGCCCGCACAAGCGGUGGAGCAUGUGGUUUAAUUCGAUGCAACGCGAAGAACCUUACCUACUCUUGACAUCCAGAGAACUUAGCAGAGAUGCAUUGGUGCCUUCGGGAACUCUGAGACAGUGCUGCAUGGCUGUCGUCAGCUCGUGUUGUGAAAUGUUGGGUUAAGUCCCGCAACGAGCGCAACCCUUAUCCCUUGUUGCCAGCGGUCCGGCCAG
This 1104-nucleotide ribosomal RNA is filed under the name Enterobacter asburiae. RNAcentral's name for it is "bacterial SSU rRNA". It matches the Rfam family "Bacterial small subunit ribosomal RNA", at positions 39 to 1134 of the family's 1533-position model. Lineage: Bacteria; Pseudomonadati; Pseudomonadota; Gammaproteobacteria; Enterobacterales; Enterobacteriaceae. The record is from RNAcentral.